This is a long non-coding RNA of Pelmatolapia mariae (spotted tilapia), 3497 nucleotides long. RefSeq lists it as uncharacterized. The record is from RefSeq and is a predicted model, not a curated record. The transcript is spliced from 3 exons. NCBI's taxonomy places the organism in Eukaryota, Metazoa, Chordata, Actinopteri, Cichliformes, Cichlidae.
UCCAGAUAGAAUCCCUUAAUGUUUUGCUUAGUAUCACCACUUUUCCUCACACAAACUGAUGCCCAUGAUUCGAUGGGUUGAUUUGACUUUAAUAAUCAUACAAUUUACAUGAAGCACAAUAAUUCAAUAUGGCUUUCAGGGGAGAGAAUCUAUUUUCUGAUCUCCUUUCUGUUCUUGUGAUCUCUUUUUCUUUUAUUGACCUGAAUGAAGAUGUAUGGAGUGAGAGUGUGUGUGUGUCUUCGGUUUCCUCCUGAUGGGGUAUAUCAGCUCCCCCCUCUUCUCCCUACUCCCCACGAUCCCCGCAAGGCUGAAUGGCAGGCCUCUGGAUUGGCUAAGUGAUGAAAUGAUGACCCUAUUAUGGGAAGCGAUUCCAAAAUGAGAGAUAUCAGACGAAGAUUACACCCCUCUCUCACUGCCACGCCAUCCUCCUGCAAUACACUGCCAGCUGCGCAGAUGAUGAUUGAUUCGCUUCAGAUGGAUCGCAGGAAGCACCCAUUGAUUUUUCUGUGUUUUAUCAAAAAUAUUUAUUUACAGUUGUAUCCAUAGGGUGUAUCCAGACUCAACCCAUACUUCGUUCUCCAAAUGGGGGUUGGUAUAAAAGGGAUAAUUCCCCCUGUUCCAUGACAAGACGAAUGACCUGAAGUAUUAUUUCAGAAAUGAGUCAAUAGGCUCAGUGAGUAAAUGAAUAUUGAUUGGAUAUAAUGAAGCCUGAGUGUGAAUAUGAGCCGUGUUGCAGACUUCACUGCAGUGAUGCUGAACCUCUCCAACUGAGUAUUUUGCAGACCUGCAUGCACAGCUGGGACUAAAUACACCUCAUUCAGAUGGUGAAUCAACACAUUCAACUUUUCCUGUGUAUUUUGAUUCAUGAUCUGAGAGUGUCCAUACUUGACUCGCUUCUUAUCAGAUCUAUGGCUAAAUAGCAUGUUUAUGGUGAAGGUACUAUAGGUGCCAUAUGGCAAUAAUCCAAGACUCAUGUUACUUAAAAGCUCUGGAGACAUGUAGGAGGCAUUUCUGUGUCACCUUUACAAAGGUAAACUGAUACAACAUACAAAUCAAAUGACAACUAGAAUGCUAAAACCACAGUGUGGGAGCUGUGCCCUAGAUAUUUGCACUGACUUAAUCCAAUUGAAAUAGUAUGAGUGAGUUGCAGGGGCUCCCAGGUCUGUUGCUUGCUUAUGUAUGUGAUGCAUAAUAGAAGUUGACGAGGUUGGUGAUAGAUCACAGCCCAGGUAAUGUAAACACAUUAAUCCCUCAGGGUUCAUGUGCAUGUUCUUUCUCUCCUUUUCUCUUAUAUCAGUCCCUCUCUCUCUAUCUGUCUCUCUCUUUCUCUCUCUUCAAGCCCCCAUCCUCCCCCCUCCACGUUCAUCAUCUUCCCUAAACGCGUUAGUGGAGCACAAACCAGAAGCAGCCUUAAUCUGUCAACAUGCCCUUUAAUUGGAGGGAGAAAACAACACGUGCUUCUGGUUAUGCCAUUCCUAAGUGCACAUGCCAAAGAAACACAGAGUUCAUGGAAGAAGUGAUCCCGGGAGAGCAGGGCAUAAUUAAAAGUAUCUUUUAAUAGGCUUGUAAUGCUGAGCCUGACUCUUGUUGCUUUAAGUAGAGGGCGAACUCUGUGGCUGGAGACGGACAUGCAAGGGGCUUCUGCUGAGGGAGCCUGUAAACGAUACAUUGCCUCGUCGUCAUCAGACAUGCAGUCUCUGCCUCAGUCACCACACUCGAGAUGACAGCCACUUUCCACCCCUGCCGCGGACACCUUGGCUUACCCGUUGCUGUGUUCUUUUGUUCUCAGAAUGAGAGAUUCUCCUCCACGACAUCACCUCUCCUCAUCUCCUUCCCAGCCACUUUGGCAAGUUGUGUUCUACCUCCUACUCACAGCUCCAGCGGGGAGUGAGAACUGGGACUAAGGGGUUGAUUUGGGGCCUGCUACACUGUAAUCAAAUGAGACUGCUUAGGGGAGAGGAGAAGGAGGAGGUGGAGUAUUAUGUUCUGUCGUGCAUUCCACUGCAGCAUUGUUGCUUUUUUGUUUUUGUCAGGGCAGGCUUUGAUGCUGUAUCCUCUUACCUUUGUAGUCCCGGUAGCCAUGUUUCAUAAACACGGAAUGGGAAACAUCCUCAGCAUUAGAAAUUUAGAUUGCUGCUUUCCUCCUGCCACUCUGCAUUCCGCACGUGCCCGGUCGCAUUCUCCAUCUCCCAUUGCUGAGGUAUUAAGUUUCCUCUCCCAUGCCUCUGAUACAUUUAAACAUCUUACAAUCAGUCCCUUUUAUUCGGUGUGUCAUGUAUAAUCUGCGGAAACAACAAUGCCAACAUGGCUCUAUGUUGCUCUCGCUCUCUUGGUACUUAAGAAGUCUGCUGUCACUGUUUUGUUUCAGGACAAUUGCACAUGCAAAAUGCUUACUUGCUUUAAAUUGAGAAGUUGCUAGGUAUUCAAUUUAGAACUUGUCUUCAUUAUUAAGAAUGUAAUAUUAAUGUCAAGCUAAGAAUUCUAUAGUACAUUGCUUUCUUUGUAUUUUCACACAGGGAAUAGGCAGUGCGUGGUUGUCUUUGUAGUUAACCGAAAGUCUCAGUGGGAUAACAGUGUAUUAUAAUCCUUAAUCUAUCUUAACUCAUUAAAAUGCAGUGUUCAGUUCUCCUGCCCAUAUUUUAUUGUCUCGUUGCAAUUUUAGUGACAUGAGAGAAAUUUCAUGCGUAAUUGAAUAUUUAAAUGUCAGACACUGACGAGAAUCAUUGCAAAAUCCUGAAAUUACUGCCACAUAUAGGUAUGUAAUAUACUUAAGAAAAAAAGUUAGAUAAGAUGCAAAUCUAUAUUUGUCAGCAGAAUCGUCCUCUGUAACACACUGUGCCUCAGUUCUCUCUUUUCUUCUACCUCUUCUUCUUCUUGGAAAGUAACCAUUUUGUCCGACAUCUGACACACUGCCCUGGGUUAUUGAGCCAGACGUGGAAAUCCAAAGCGGAGAUGCUCUCCUUAAUGCCUGACACCUGGUGCAGAUUUGGAAGGGAUUGCACUACAGGGUAUGCUUUACAAGUGGACGCUACUCUGGAGUGUUGCAGCUCACCUUACCGCUUGCAGUCACAUCUGCAGACUGUGCUGGAGCAGAAUGGCUAGCGAACAUAAACACAGCAAGGACAUCAAAGGCCGGCAGGCUGUGUCCAGUUCUGUCACUGGUCCUUAGUGCUCCAGCAGCCUGGUCAAAAAGACAUCCUGGCAGGGUCCCAGGGUGGAUGCAUCGCCCACGCACGCUGCUCUUGCCAGAUCCCAGAAGUCUUUGUGGUGAACCACUGACCGUGCUGCUCCCUAUUUUCUUCCAGCCCAGCAAAUAAUGUGUCAGAAAAAGAUUAUUGAUAGCCCAUAAAAGAAGAGGCAGAAUGUUGUUGCCGCUCUGCUCCAACUUUAAAGAACAAUACAAGUGCUAAACCAUCAGUUUCAAUGGUGCACUGCUCCUGAAAGAGCACAGCAUUUAUUUUUCACAUUGUUGUUCAGUUUGAAUAAAAGGUGCUACA